RNAcentral lists this transfer RNA (86 nucleotides) under Colletotrichum somersetense. Its description in RNAcentral is "tRNA-Glu". It matches the Rfam family "tRNA". Rfam says of the family: Transfer RNA (tRNA) molecules are approximately 80 nucleotides in length. Their secondary structure includes four short double-helical elements and three loops (D, anti-codon, and T loops). Lineage: Eukaryota; Fungi; Ascomycota; Sordariomycetes; Glomerellales; Glomerellaceae. The record is from RNAcentral.
UCCGAUAUGGUGUAGUGGCCAACAUGAUGCCCUCUCAAGUAUUGAGAGGUUAGGCAUAGCCCCGAGUUCGAUUCUCGGUUUCGGAA